Molecule: ribosomal RNA, 483 nt
Filed under: uncultured bacterium
Lineage: Bacteria
Description: bacterial SSU rRNA
Rfam family: Bacterial small subunit ribosomal RNA
Source: RNAcentral
GAUGAACGCUAGCGACAGGCCUAACACAUGCAAGUCGAGGGGCAGCACAAGGAGCAAUCUGAGGUGGCGACCGGCGCACGGGUGAGUAACACGUAUGCAACCUGCCUGUAAGCGGGGGAUAACCCGUUGAAAGACGGACUAAUACCCUAUAACACAGGGGUCCCGCAUGGGAAUAUUUGUUAAAGGACAACCGGUUGAAGAUGGGCAUGCGUUCCAUUAGCUAGUUGGCGGGGUAACGGCCCACCAAGGCAACGAUGGAUAGGGGAACUGAGAGGUUUAUCCCCCACACUGGUACUGAGACACGGACCAGACUCCUACGGGAGGCAGCAGUGAGGAAUAUUGGUCAAUGGACGCAAGUCUGAACCAGCCACGUCGCGUGAAGGAAGACGGCCCUACGGGUUGUAAACUUCUUUUAUACGGGAAUAAAGUGCCCACGUGUGGGUUUUGCAUGUACCGUAUGAAUAAGGAUCGGCUAACUCCGUG